UUUAACUGAAACGACGGCGUUUCCCUCUCGCAUGCUCCUCUAGGUGUAGCGCAGCAGGGCAGACGAGCACACAAAGCAAGCAGAGAAAGAAACUGCGUAGCUUAGCUAAAAGAGAAAGAGGAAGCAGAGAGAGAGAGAGGAAUGGUAGGGGCGGGGGCGUUUUGGGGGACGAGAGUUAUGGAGAUAGUGAAGAAGCAUGACUCUGGUGGUCUUGUUUGGAAACGAAUUAAACUCACCACCACUCGUAAGGCCAACGCCAAGAAACGCCUCCUUAGGGUUUGGCAGAAUGAAGCUGUCCUGAAGGCAUGUUCUGAAUCCCAACCUUCCAAAAUGUCCACAGCUGGUGCUUCUGCAGUUGACAAAAAAGAGGGCCUCAACACUGCAAGCUGACUUUGAAAUGAGUGAGAUAGAACAUAAGAUACUCUCAAGGCUGCUUGUGAUUGCAAGUUUUUUUUAGCAUUUUUUGGUCUGUGAUGUCUUGCUAGGUCUAUUUAUGCUUAGGUAAUAUUUUGAGUUCGUCCAAUCACUUCCAUGUAACAACUGAAAUGGUUUCUUCACAUUGUAAAGAUUUUUCAACAUAGACUGUGAUUGCAUCAUUUACUAUUGACUCUUUUUGUAUUUUCUAUGCAUGCUGAUGGCAUGUUUGAUCCAGUGCAUGCUAUUUAUUA
Molecule: long non-coding RNA, 668 nt
Organism: Populus euphratica (Euphrates poplar)
Lineage: Eukaryota; Viridiplantae; Streptophyta; Magnoliopsida; Malpighiales; Salicaceae
Exons: 2
Source: RefSeq, a predicted model, not a curated record